Long non-coding RNA from Calypte anna (Anna's hummingbird), 714 nucleotides. RefSeq lists it as uncharacterized. The record is from RefSeq and is a predicted model, not a curated record. The transcript has 3 exons. NCBI's taxonomy places the organism in Eukaryota, Metazoa, Chordata, Aves, Apodiformes, Trochilidae.
UACCCCACAGAGAGUAAUCCUUCCUCAUCUGCUGCCCUCACCUUCUCUGAUCAAUCCUACAGACUCUUCCUUGAAUGAGAAGAACUGCAACACAUAUAAACUCCAGAUGUAAGAGUGAAGUUGGGCCCCUCUGUCAAACAAUGCUGGGAAGAAAAAGCACCCCCUGAACCAACCUGACCUGCCUCAGGUGAGGAUGACUCCUGUGGACCAGCCUCAUGCUCAUCAGUCUAGCAGAAGUGGAGCUCCAAGGCCUUCAAAAUCUGCCUUUGCUAAUUCAAAGUUUCCUCAAGGUGCUAAAGUCAGUCAGAAAUUCAAAGUGACAAGCAUCAAAACCAGUGCAAGCUACUCCUGGGGAGAUCCCAAUUGGACAUCAGAAGAAAAUUUUUCACUAUGAAGACAGUUGGACAUUGGAAUAAUUUCCCCAGGGAAGUGGUAGAUUCCCCAACACUGAACAUUUUUAAGGCUCAGCUUGACAAGGUGAUGGGCAAUCACAUCUAAAUAAAGUUCUUACCUAGAAUCUUUGGACUGAAUGAUCCUUGAGGCCCCUUCCAACCUGGCAUUCUAGGAUUCUAUGAAUCACACAGCACUGGGGGAGGAGGAGUUCCCUUAACUUACAAAGAUGUAGUGACACCAAUUUAUGCCUGAAUGCAAAUCAAAGGCUCUGUAGCUCAGCUAGUGGAAGAACAUCUGGUUGUAUCACUGCUUAAGGAAUUU